UACGGCCAUAUCACACUGAAACACCAGUUAUCACCAAAGUUAAGCAAGAUUGUGCUUGGUCAGUGUCGAGAUGGGUGACCGUUUGGGAAGACCAGGUGUUGUAAG
Non-coding RNA from Acanthosepion pharaonis, 105 nucleotides. The record is from the annotation of a GenBank genome assembly. NCBI's taxonomy places the organism in Eukaryota, Metazoa, Mollusca, Cephalopoda, Sepiida, Sepiidae.